RNAcentral lists this non-coding RNA (30 nucleotides) under Mus musculus (house mouse). The record is from RNAcentral. Lineage: Eukaryota; Metazoa; Chordata; Mammalia; Rodentia; Muridae.
UGGCAAUAGGAUAUGUGAGACCCAGUGUGU